GCAGAAAUCCCUGUUGGACAGGGCACGGAGUUACAUGGAGCUUUCCCCGUGCAUGGAGGGAGUCUCAAGUGCCAACUCCUGCCUCAGAACUGUGAAGUCUCCACUGCUCCUUCGAGGGCAGCAUAGCCCAGAGCUGCUCCCUGCCCUCUCUCUGCAGCGUGGCUUAGAAGGCUGAGCAAACCAGCACAGUCAGCGGCCAGAGGUAUUCCUGCUGUAAAAGUGGGAAUUUGAACCCUGUGAGACAAGGAGGGAAACCUUCAGCCUUGUGAGGCUGCCCUUGUUCAGCCUGGCUGUAUGGAGGAGGUGGAUCAGGCUGGGGAGACUCCAUGCCCAUCACAGGAUGGGUCAAAACCAGCAACAGUAUAACUCCUCCAGCAUAACACGUGGCAAUGAGUUAAUGCAUUGUGCUUCAACCAAAGCAAUGCAUUUUGUGCCAAGGGUCUGGGCAUCAUUCAAGUUCCUCCCAGCAUGAUGAUUUGCCUUCAGCACAAACAGGGAUAUGAUGCACUGUGCUGUUCAACAUCUUCUAUGUCUUAGUGCCAGUGAUUAACUUUCUAUAAACUCUGACAUGCCUCUACAUUAAUAGGAACAAAUGAAAUCACAGAGCAGUUGAGCCCGUUUAAUUACAGGACCGCAUGGUACAAUUUCAAAAUGAAAUAUGUCUGUUGCUCCUUUUUAUUUUUUAUUUUUUAAACAAAUAGAUAAAUACACUCAUGUCAGUGCAAUGCCUUCAUGGUCUGCCAGUAAACAAAGCAGCACUGGUACGCAGGCUUACAGAAGAUCUACGAAUGUAAUUUUUGAGCUAUUUCCUUGUGUUAAAUUGGAUGCUCUUUGGACUACCAUUUCUCCCAGAUAAAACACAGGAGACUUCCACCCUAUAGAGGUUGUUAAUAUUUUUGAAUCAAUGCAUUGUAAUCACGCUCUGUACCUUUAACACAAUAUCUAGCAGCACCUGCCAUUCUUCACUGCCAAGAGAUAAAGAAUGGUGUUCUGUGCUGUACGAACUGACAGCAAAAAAGGAGAUGAACAGCUGAUGUGAAAAGUCUUCAUUCUGUCAGACUUAAAAAUGCCUCUGCUUUGUAUCCUGUCUGCGUCUGCACUCAAAUGCUGAACAUACUUUUGGGAGCUGUAUAAAUAAAUAAUGUUCUUAUUUG
RNAcentral lists this long non-coding RNA (1154 nucleotides) under Gallus gallus (chicken). RNAcentral describes it as "lncRNA (ENSGALG00010002648.1)". The record is from RNAcentral. Lineage: Eukaryota; Metazoa; Chordata; Aves; Galliformes; Phasianidae.